This is a long non-coding RNA of Exaiptasia diaphana, 149 nucleotides long. RefSeq lists it as uncharacterized. The record is from RefSeq and is a predicted model, not a curated record. NCBI's taxonomy places the organism in Eukaryota, Metazoa, Cnidaria, Anthozoa, Actiniaria, Aiptasiidae. The transcript is spliced from 3 exons.
GAAAAGAAUUUCAAAAAAGAAAUGGACAAACUAAACGCCAAAGUGACUGAGCUUCAAAGCGAACUGAAUGAGCGAAAUACACAUGAACAGCACUUGACGACAACAAUAAAAGAACUUAACGUAAGUACACUGACUUGCUGGGGGUACCC